Molecule: long non-coding RNA, 2079 nt
Filed under: Solanum pimpinellifolium
Lineage: Eukaryota; Viridiplantae; Streptophyta; Magnoliopsida; Solanales; Solanaceae
Description: long non-coding RNA (SPIM_LNC000150)
Rfam family: tRNA (bases 434-507)
Source: RNAcentral
UUCAGAGGGAGAAGAAGAGGCAAAAAUUGGAACAGAAAUAUCAUUCGAUUCGUCGAUCCUCAAAAAAAGAAAUAAGCAAGGUUCCGUCGUUGAGUGACAAAUGGGAAAUUUAUGGAAAGUUACAAUCCCUACCACGGAAUAGUGCACCUACACGCCUUCAUCGACGUUGUUUUUUGACCGGAAGGCCAAGAGCUAACUAUCGAGACUUUGGCCUAUCCGGACACAUACUUCGUGAAAUGGUUCAUGCAUGUUUGUUGCCAGGAGCAACAAGAUCAAGUUGGUAAGGAUUAACGCUUCAUUUCUAUUUCUAUGGUCGAUGAUCAUAGAAGCCCCUUUACCAUUCUGUAUAAAUGGGCUAUUCUAUUUGUACAGAUAGGGUAGAGGGGCGCAUUUAAUCCUUGUUUAUCUAUUAGUUUUCAGGUCUUAUCUUUGACGCGGGGUAGAGCAGUUUGGUAGCUCGCAAGGCUCAUAACCUUGAGGUCACGGGUUCAAAUCCUGUCUCCGCAACAUCUUGUUCUGGUAACUAGUAAUUAAUUCCCGCCUUUCGCUUUUUGGGGGUGGAAGGCAAAAGAAAACGUAGGGGAGGGAUAGAAUCACUACACUAUCACGGCCAACUAUACCAACUCCUUAAUUUCCUUAAUUUUAAUUUAAGGAUAUAUUUAAUGCUAUUUAUGAAUUCAAUAAUAAAAAUAAAUAGUAAAAAAAUGACUUUAUCUUGGAUUUUGGGCGGAUAGCGGGAAUCGAACCCGCAUCUUCUCCUUGGCAAAGAGAAAUUUUACCAUUCGACCAUAUCCGCAUUUUUUUGUUCUUGAUACACAAUAUGUACCCACAUAUAUGAUAUAUAACCGGAUCUUAUUUGUGCAGUGCCGGAACACAUAUUCUCUUCGGAACGAUUCCAAUUAUUUUGUUAAUUGUAUUCUUUUUAUUCAAGAAGUGUGACCCCCCCUCUAAUUUUUUUUGUUUUCUUUAUUUGAUUUGCAUUUUCUUUGGGGACUUAGAUUCAAAUUUAAUGUGUCUCACAACCGAGAAAAAUUAGGGGGGUCAUUUUGGUUUUGGGUCUGCGACGAAUAGGUUCAAGAGAUAAGAGAAUUAAGGAUACCCACCAGAAAGACUAAUCCAAUCCAUAAGGAUGUACCAGAAAAUACAACAUUUUUGUUACUUGACCAGCCAUCAGGAGAAGCAAAUACAACGGGUACGCUAAUCAAUAAGAUUAAUGAAGUAGCAAUUAAUGCAAAAACAGCCAAUUGGAAAGCAAGAGUCAUGCUUUUAAUCCUCCAAGCUACCAACAAAUGAACUAUAUACCAUUUGAUCCCUCUAUNAGCACAUCACAUUAUGGCAGGGUAACGUUUCACAGUUUAAUGAAUCUUCCACUUAUUUGAUGGGCUGGUUAAGGGAUUAUUUAUGGUUAAACUCUUCACAACUUAUCAAUGGAUAUAACCCUUUUGGUAUGAAUAGUUUAUCGGUUUGGGCAUGGAUGUUCUUAUUUGGACAUCUUGUUUGGGCUACUGGAUUUAUGUUCUUAAUUUCUUGGCGUGGAUAUUGGCAGGAAUUGAUUGAAACUUUAGCAUGGGCUCACGAACGCACACCUUUGGCCAAUUUGAUUCGCUGGAGAGAUAAACCAGUGGCCCUUUCUAUUGUACAAGCAAGAUUGGUUGGAUUAGCUCACUUUUCUGUAGGUUAUAUAUUCACUUAUGCGGCUUUCUUGAUUGCCUCUACGUCGGGCAAAUUUGGUUAAUUAAUGUGUGUAUUCGCGAUAAUCUCAUUUCUUUCGACGGACCAAUAAAGACCAAACAAUUAUUCAUCUAUGGAGAGCCAAGCACGCAAAAAACGCUACUUUUACACUUCUUAGCAAAAGUUCUCAAAAUAUACUGAUUCAGAGGGAGAAGAAGAGGCAAAAAUUGGAACAGAAAUAUCAUUUGAUUCGUUGAUCCUCAAAAAAAAGAAAUAAGCAAGGUUCCGUCGUUGAGUGACAAAUGAGAAAUUUAUGGAGAGUUACAAUCCCUACCACGGAAUAGUGCACCUACACGCCUUCAUCGACGUUGUUUUUUGACCGGAAGGCCAAGAGCUAACUAUCGAGAC